AGCAAGAAGAAGACAUGCUCUGUCCGCCCGUGUCCUCUUACCUGACCCCACCCCAACUCCUUCCUCCUCUUGUAUCUCCUCUCUUCUCCUCUCCCCUUUCUCUCUCUCUCUUUUCCUCCCUUCUUUCCUCGCGUGCUCUGUAAGAGAUAAAGAACUAAAAAGAACCAUUCUGGUCACAGCACAGCAGUAUCCGCUCUUUCUCUCCCCGGCUGGCUGCGACUAUUAGAGAUCUCUCUGUUCCCAGAAUCAACGAAAAGAAAAGGAAAGAGACCCCAAGAGCAGAUAAAUCAAAAGGAAAGGGGCAGAGAGAGAGAGAUAGAUAGAGAGGGCGGUCCUCGAAAUAGAGGAGUUUGGCCGUUGUGGCAGUUACCAGGCUGCGCUUUUCUGAGUGCACCCAUGCAUCCCCGUCCCCGUUUAGAAAGAAUAAGAAUGCCUCCUCUCCCCAGCUUGUCUACAUGUAAUCUAUCUAUCCAUCUAAAUCCCUAGUCUAAUCUUAGAAAGAGAUGGCGUGGAUGGAUUAUUAGGGAAAAUAAAGUCGGAGUUUUGCAACGCGGCAGCUAUUAUAGGAAAGCCUUAAAUUAAAACAACCCAAACCCAACCAGGCCCUGUUCACUGGUAUAGGAGAGAAAAUCGAGAAGAGAGGAGAAGAGGAUUGGAGGAGGACAGAAGGAAAAAGAAGAUUAAAGAAAUUAGAAAAAAAAAGAAACACAAAGGAAAAGGGGAGCGUCUAGGAGAGGGAAGGGGAUGGCAGCGGCGGAGGAGAUGCUGGUGGCGAUGCAUCAGGGGAAGAAAGAAGGGGAAGAAGACCCGAGCGUCGACACGGACAAGCUGAGCUACGAGAUAUUCUCCAUUCUCGAGAGCAAGUUCCUCUUCGGCUACGACGACCACAAGCUCUGGGUCCCCAAGCCCUCCGACACCGACGCCGCGGCCACGACGAUCAAGAACCAGAGGGGCAAGGUCCGCGUCCUCUGCAUCGACGGUGGCGGGGGAGGCGGCAUGCGGGGCAUCCUCCCGGGCAAGGCCCUGGCGUAUUUGGAACAAGCGCUCCAGGCCAAGUCCGGCGACACCAACGCCCGCAUCUCCGACUACUUCGACGUCGUCGCCGGCACCGGCGUCGGCGGGCUCUUCGCCGCCAUGAUCGUCUCCACCCGCGACGGCGCUCGCCCCCAGUUCCGCGCCGACGACACCUGGCGGUUCCUCGCCGACCAGGGCAAGCGUUUCUUCCGCAAGCCCAGAUCGUCGUCCUCUUCCUCGUCAUCCUCUGGCGGCUUCCUCCGGCGCGUGUUCCAUGGAGGGGGCGGCGUAGGGUCGUCGGCGACGGCGACGGCGGCGAUGGAAAAGGCGUUGAAGGAGGCGUUGGGGGAGGGGACCACGCUGCGGGACACGGUGAAGCCGGUGCUAAUCCCGUGCUUCGACCUGCGGAGCUCGGCCCCGCUGGUCUUCUCCCGCGCCGACGCCCUGGAGAGCGAGAGCUAUGACUUCCGGCUGUGGGAGGUGUGCCGGGCGACGUGGGCGGAGCCGGGCCGGUUCGCGCCUGCGGAGAUGCGGUCGGUGGACCGGCGGACGGCGUGCUUGGGCGUGGACGGGGGGCUGGCGAUGAGCAACCCGGCGGCGGCGGCCAUCACCCACGUCCUCCACAACAAGCAGGAGUUCCCCUUCGUCCGCGGGGUGGAGGACCUGCUGGUACUCUCCCUCGGAUGCGGGUCUGGCGGCGCCGCCGUCGUGCCGGAGGAGGAGCACCCGCGCCUUCGGCGGUGGGGUCCCCGGGAGUGGGCCCGCCCCAUCGCCCGCAUCGCCUCCGACGGCGCCGCCGACCUCGUGGACCACGCGGUCGCCCUCGCCUUCGGUCAGUGCCGGAGCUCCAACUACGUCCGUAUCCAGGGUAAAACGCGGUUUCACUACACUGUGACCGUGGGGAAGGAGAGGGAUUGAGUUGGCUCUCUGUACUUGCUGUAGGAGAACAGCAGACGAGGAAGGGCAUUUAGAUUCUAAUGGACAGUUUCGCAUUUGGCUAAUUGUACGAGCAUGGGCGAGUGUGGAGUGGAUGUGGAUUCGGACCCAAGCCCGGGGAACGUGAGGGCUUUGUUGGGGGCAGCAGAGGAGAUGCUGAAGCAGAAGACCGUAGAGUCGGUGAUGUUCGGGGGAAAGAGGAUGGGAGAGCAGACGAAUAUGGAGAAGCUGGACUGGUUUGCAGGGGAGCUCGUGCUGGAGCACCAGAGGAGGAGCUGUCGGAUAGCUCCCACAGUUGCCUUCAAGCAAGCAGCUCCGAAGCCCACCCAGAGUAUCAGUUAGUCAUCUCUCUUUUUCCACCUCUCUUUUUGCUGGAUCCUGCUGUUUUUUUUCCACAUAGCAGUGUAGCAUUUCCCUCCUUGGAAUCGGGGGAAGGGGAAAAGGCGAAAGGCAAUUAUCGCUUGUGGUUACUCACGUUGUCUCAACUAUAUAAAAAUUGUUUCAGUACCCGCUGCAAUUUCAAGAUUAAAAAGAUCAUUAUGAAGGAAGAUACACUUUUUCUUUUUAAUAUAUUAAUGUCUAUAUUGUUGUAACGAAGCCCUUUUGGGCCUCCUCCAUACGAGGCUCUUGUAAACGUGUUAGUGAAACCUGCCCUCUCUAUGGUCUCUCAUGUUUUCUA
RNA transcript from Elaeis guineensis (African oil palm), 2629 nucleotides. It is a transcript of the gene named patatin-like protein 6, with no coding region annotated. The record is from RefSeq and is a predicted model, not a curated record. NCBI's taxonomy places the organism in Eukaryota, Viridiplantae, Streptophyta, Magnoliopsida, Arecales, Arecaceae.